Molecule: long non-coding RNA, 1560 nt
Filed under: Bos indicus x Bos taurus (hybrid cattle)
Lineage: Eukaryota; Metazoa; Chordata; Mammalia; Artiodactyla; Bovidae
Description: lncRNA (ENSBIXG00005007274.1)
Source: RNAcentral
AUGAACUUUAACAAACCGCCUCCGCAUCCCUCGCCUUCCUCCCCAUCCCCGGCCCUGCACACACCGUUCCGCGCCGUCCGCUCGCGUCAGGUCAGCUGUCAACACAACUCUUUGUGUCUCCGUCGGCACAAGAGGGGUCCCCAGCCCCUCUCAGAGAAAUUCGAACGAUGGCUGGAGAACACGCGCGCGCGCGCCCGUGACCGAGUGACAUUUCCUGCGGAGCCGAGCCGCCCGGGCACCCCGGGCAAACGCCCGGCCACCGCCGGACGCUCCCAACUUUCCACCCGGGGCUCGGCUCUCUCCAUCCUCGCGCGUCACCUCCGCGCCUCCCUACCUGCCGCCCCUAACCCCGCGCCCGGGAGACCCCCCCCCUUGGCGGCCCGCGGGCUCCAGGAGACGCUCCCGAGGGGCGCUCCCCGCCUCCCGCAGCCCCCCGGCUCGGGCUCCCUCGCUCCCGCCACAAAGGCGGCGGUGACAGGCCUCUGGCCUUGGGGCGCGGACCGCACGGACUGGGUCUCCUCGUGGGGCUUGGGGCUGGCACGGGCGGCCAGCCUCGCCGUACAAACGCAGCGGCGCUCACGCCCCGCGCUCCGCCGGGCUAGCCCUCCAGAAAAAGUCAGCCGCGCGCCGGCCCGCGCAGGCAGGGUGUGCACAGCCCGCCAAAGGGCAGCGCCGGCGGCGCGGCGGCGCGCGCUCGCGCCCGGCUGGCCACCUCUCAUCACCACCACCCCCGCGCCCCGCCGCCUCCCCGCGCCCCGAGUCCCCACAGCCGCUCACCUGGCCCUGGCAGCGCGCGAGGGCCGAGGACCGGGGGUGGCCCUCGCCUGGGUCGGGGCUCGUCUCCCCACCCCCAGCCGGGUGGCGGCGCCGCGCUCCGCUCGCUCAGCCGCGCUCCUCCGAGGAGCUAGCGCCGCCGCUGGCUGGCGUCUGUGUGUGCCGGGCAAGCUGGCCGCGCGCCCAGGUCCCCGGGGCGGAGCGAGGCGGCGGCCGCAGCGGCCGGAGGCGGAUUCCUCAGGUGCGGCCCCUCCCGCUUCCCCGGGACCUCGGCGGCGGCGGGGACCCCCGGACCCCCCCCUCCGCCCCGCCUCUCGGCCGACCGCCCUUCCAGGCGCCCCCUUCCCGACCCUCGCGGAGUGCAGUGGGGAGUGGGCUUGCGGCCCCCCGCCCCGGGUGAAUCCCCUCGCCCCGGGGGCUCGCGCCCCCAUUCCCAAACUCGUGCGGCCCCCGGGGGGCACGUGUGUGGCCACUGCGGGGACGUGUAUGUCCACUGCGGAGAGUGGAGGGGUCUUCUCGGGAGAAGGACUGUCCCCCACAAACGCCCCCGGGGCGGCUGACGGGCUCAGCCGAGAAGAAAAAUUAUUUUCUCGCCGAUUCCACCUUCAUUCACAGAGUGCUUUCGCCGCGCUGCGGGAUUGCUUUCUCUGUCCGCUGGACGGCGGCCAAAGGGCCCUAAGCGUGAGCUCGAAGUGGGCGAUCGGGGGGUCGAAACCCUUCGGCCUUUUGCUUGAAGUGGGGCUGGGGGGGUGGGGCGGGGACGGGACGCGCACAAAUCCCAAGUGA